Molecule: ribosomal RNA, 253 nt
Filed under: uncultured bacterium
Lineage: Bacteria
Description: partial 16S ribosomal RNA
Rfam family: Bacterial small subunit ribosomal RNA
Source: RNAcentral
UACGUAGGGCGCAAGCGUUGUCCGGAAUUAUUGGGCGUAAAGAGCUCGUAGGCGGCUUGUCACGUCGAUUGUGAAAGCCCGAGGCUUAACCUCGGGUCUGCAGUCGAUACGGGCUAGCUAGAGUGUGGUAGGGGAGAUCGGAAUUCCUGGUGUAGCGGUGAAAUGCGCAGAUAUCAGGGGGAACACCGGUGGCGAAGGCGGAUCUCUGGGCCAUUACUGACGCUGAGGAGCGAAAGCGUGGGGAGCGAACAGG